ACCAGGCUUUAUUUAGUUUAUUUAGUGCCAGCGCCCGUCCCAUAAAAGACACCGUUAGUGAAAUUCGGGAGACCUAAGCUUCCCUGACAAGACUGUGUAGAGACUAUCCACAGCAAAGUGGCAUGAAUCGAAGAGUGACACUGUCAUUUUAAUCGGGAUAUUUACAUACAAACAAAAUGAAAGCUAUCUCUGGGAUCAGAAGAACAGAAAUUUUGUGAGCAAACACUCUAGUGCUCAAUAAAUGAAAUAAAUAUUCUGA
Molecule: non-coding RNA, 259 nt
Organism: Lonchura striata (white-rumped munia)
Lineage: Eukaryota; Metazoa; Chordata; Aves; Passeriformes; Estrildidae
Source: RefSeq, a predicted model, not a curated record